Molecule: ribosomal RNA, 560 nt
Filed under: uncultured bacterium
Lineage: Bacteria
Description: bacterial SSU rRNA
Rfam family: Bacterial small subunit ribosomal RNA
Source: RNAcentral
GACGGGGGCCCGCACAAGCGGAGGAACAUGUGGUUUAAUUCGAUGAUACGCGAGGAACCUUACCCGGGCUUGAAAUGUGCAUGACGACAGGCGGAGAUGCCUGUUUCCCUUCGUGGCAUGCAUGUAGGUGCUGCAUGGUUGUCGUCAGCUCGUGCCGUGAGGUGUCGGCUUAAGUGCCAUAACGAGCGCAACCCUUAUUUGCGUUUGCCAUCAGGUUAUGCUGGGCACUCCGCAGAUACUGCCAUCGCAAGAUGUGAGGAAGGUGGGGAUGACGUCAAAUCAGCACGGCCCUUACGUCCGGGGCUACACACGUGUUACAAUGGAGAGUAUACAAAGGGUCGCUCCCUGGCGACAGGUUGCCAAUCUCUAAAUCUCUCCUCAGUUCGGACUGGAGUCUGCAACCCGACUCCACGAAGCUGGAUUCGCUAGUAAUCGCGCAUCAGCCAUGGCGCGGUGAAUACGUUCCCGGGCCUUGUACACACCGCCCGUCAAGCCAUGAAAGCCUGGGGCGCCUGAAGACCGUGACCGCAAGGGUCGGCCUAGGGUGAAACCGUUGAUGG